RNAcentral lists this transfer RNA (87 nucleotides) under Candidatus Moraniibacteriota bacterium. Its description in RNAcentral is "tRNA-Leu". It matches the Rfam family "tRNA". Rfam says of the family: Transfer RNA (tRNA) molecules are approximately 80 nucleotides in length. Their secondary structure includes four short double-helical elements and three loops (D, anti-codon, and T loops). Lineage: Bacteria; Candidatus Moraniibacteriota. The record is from RNAcentral.
GGGCGAGUGGCGGAAUUGGUAUACGCACGACACUUAAAAUGUCGCUCCGUUCGCGGAUUGAGGGUUCGAGUCCCUCCUUGCCCACAA